CCAGACUCCUACGGGAGGCAGCAGUGGGGGAUAUUGCACAAUGGGGGAAACCCUGAUGCAGCAACGCCGCGUGAGUGAAGAAGUAUUUCGGUAUGUAAAGCUCUAUCAGCAGGGAAGAAAAUGACGGUACCUGAAGAAGAAGCCCCGGCUAACUACGUGCCAGCAGCCGCGGUAAUACGUAGGGGGCAAGCGUUAUCCGGAUUUACUGGGUGUAAAGGGGGCGCAGACGGCGAUGCAAGCCAGGAGUGAAAGCCCGGGGCCCAACCCCGGGACUGCUCUUGGAACUGCGUGGCUGGAGUGCAGGAGGGGCAGGCGGAAUUCCCAGUGUAGCGGUGAAAUGCGUAGAUAUUGGGAGGAACACCAGUGGCGAAGGCGGCCUGCUGGACAUUAACUGACGCUGAGGCGCGAAAGCGUGGGGAGCAAACAGGAUUAGAUACCCCAGUAAGC
RNAcentral lists this ribosomal RNA (447 nucleotides) under uncultured bacterium. RNAcentral describes it as "bacterial SSU rRNA". It matches the Rfam family "Bacterial small subunit ribosomal RNA", at positions 331 to 794 of the family's 1533-position model. The record is from RNAcentral.